AAAAAUCGACAAAUCGAUGAUUUUGAGAAAUUGAUGGGUUAAAUACUUGCUUUUUUUUCUCCGACAAAACGACGUUGUUUUGAUUAUUAAAAAAUUAAAAUAUAAAUAGACUUAUUCAAAACUCAUUUAAAAUUUUCUUUCCUUAAAAUUAAAUUUAUUAUACAAUGGAAUUAUUUUAUUAUAAAGUUUAUCUUACAGUUAGAGUUUGUUUAAAAUUUAUAUAGAUUUAUAUUUUAUACUAUUUUGUUUUGUUGUGUGUAAUGACUAUUUUUAGAAUU
Molecule: long non-coding RNA, 278 nt
Filed under: Lathyrus oleraceus (garden pea)
Lineage: Eukaryota; Viridiplantae; Streptophyta; Magnoliopsida; Fabales; Fabaceae
Description: Pisum sativum (pea) long non-coding RNA (PSAT_LNC001653)
Source: RNAcentral